This 705-nucleotide ribosomal RNA is filed under the name uncultured Pseudomonadaceae bacterium. RNAcentral describes it as "SSU rRNA". It matches the Rfam family "Bacterial small subunit ribosomal RNA", at positions 107 to 808 of the family's 1533-position model. The record is from RNAcentral. Lineage: Bacteria; Pseudomonadati; Pseudomonadota; Gammaproteobacteria; Pseudomonadales; Pseudomonadaceae.
UGAGUAAUGCCUAAGAAUCUGCCUGGUAGUGGGGGAUAACGUCCGGAAACGGGCGCUAAUACCGCAUACGUCCUGAGGGAGAAAGUGGGGGAUCUUCGGACCUCACGCUAUCAGAUGAGCCUAGGUCGGAUUAGCUAGUUGGUGGGGUAAAGGCCUACCAAGGCGACGAUCCGUAACUGGUCUGAGAGGAUGAUCAGUCACACUGGAACUGAGACACGGUCCAGACUCCUACGGGAGGCAGCAGUGGGGAAUAUUGGACAAUGGGCGAAAGCCUGAUCCAGCCAUGCCGCGUGUGUGAAGAAGGUCUUCGGAUUGUAAAGCACUUUAAGUUGGGAGGAAGGGCAGUAAGUUAAUACCUUGCUGUUUUGACGUUACCAACAGAAUAAGCACCGGCUAACUUCGUGCCAGCAGCCGCGGUAAUACGAAGGGUGCAAGCGUUAAUCGGAAUUACUGGGCGUAAAGCGCGCGUAGGUGGUUCAGCAAGUUGGAUGUGAAAUCCCCGGGCUCAACCUGGGAACUGCAUCCAAAACUACUGAGCUAGAGUACGGUAGAGGGUGGUGGAAUUUCCUGUGUAGCGGUGAAAUGCGUAGAUAUAGGAAGGAACACCAGUGGCGAAGGCGACCACCUGGACUGAUACUGACACUGAGGUGCGAAAGCGUGGGGAGCAAACAGGAUUAGAUAUCCUGGUAGUCCACGCCGUAAACG